This is a small nucleolar RNA of Gastrolobium bilobum, 107 nucleotides long. Lineage: Eukaryota; Viridiplantae; Streptophyta; Magnoliopsida; Fabales; Fabaceae. The record is from RefSeq and is a predicted model, not a curated record.
AAGCCAUGUUGGGGACACUUCAGGAGUAUUUCUUUAAACUUUUCCUAUUCCUCGUACAAGGUUUCAGUUUCUUUUUGUUCAAAAGAAGUGAUUUCUGCUUUGAGCCU